GAUGACGUAGUGAAGAGUGACGUCAUCAAGGAUAAAAAGGAUGACAACGAAACAGUGUAUUCAGAAGUGAUAAAACAUCCUAAGAAACAACAAACAGAUGAAAAAAAAAGAAAAAGAAAAAGAAUGAAGAAAAGGAGUUGAAAGAAAACAAUGAAGAAGCGGGGACAUCUACCCGUAACGACAACUCACGUUCAACGAAUCAAGAUGGUUUAGUUUAUAUCGAUGUUGAAUUUGCGAGAAAGCUCCCAAGUUCAGACACAAAGGGGAGACCAGUCAUACACGGGGAGGAAGAGAAGACAGAGUACACGUUCGUGGAUUUCACCCAAAAAGCGCCGCCUGUACAGGAAUCGCAGGAAAAUGUCAAGUGAUCGUUUGUAGUGAGAUGUUAAAACAAGAAACAAUUCACAGAUGUGUACAUCUGAAUUUAUUGACGACAGAAUAAUCUUUUUUAUAUUUAUUGUUUUUUUUUUAAAUCUUGCAUUUCUUUGUCUGCUUGUAUUUAGAAUUGUGAAUUAGAUCAUCUAUUUUCAUCAUGGAUACCGAUAGAUAAUUGCAUAUAGACUGCAUAUAAUAUAUUUGCAUAUAAAUCUCCAUUAAAAAACAUUUUUUUUUAAUUAUGUGUCUAAAAGGAAGAAAAAUAAACAAAAUUUUCAUUUCAUUUUCAAAAACUGCAUUCUUCUUUACUUUACGCAUUUCUUCGCCCAUCGCUAGAAGUCCUGAAAGAUUAGAUCAUUUUACUUGAAUUGGGUAUGCAUGUGUUCAAGUAUAAGUAUUCAUCCACGUCUUUACAUGAAUUAUACUAAAAGAAACCAUUGC
Saccostrea cuccullata (small rock oyster) is the source of this 816-nucleotide long non-coding RNA. RefSeq lists it as uncharacterized. The transcript is spliced from 3 exons. The record is from RefSeq and is a predicted model, not a curated record. NCBI's taxonomy places the organism in Eukaryota, Metazoa, Mollusca, Bivalvia, Ostreida, Ostreidae.